Molecule: ribosomal RNA, 327 nt
Filed under: uncultured Spongomonas
Lineage: Eukaryota; Cercozoa; Imbricatea; Spongomonadida
Description: bacterial SSU rRNA
Rfam family: Eukaryotic small subunit ribosomal RNA (bases 106-327)
Source: RNAcentral
GAUUUCUACCUGACCGUCCUGGCCCGCUUCCUUUUCGGGAAGUGAGUGCUGAGAUGAGUCUGGUAUCCUUAUCGAGAGCCAGACCUAUCCUUCACUGGAUUGGGCCUUGUGCGAUCGAUAACUUUUACUUUGAAAAAAUUAGAGUGUUUAAAGCAGGCUUAUGCUUCUGAAUACAUUAGCAUGGAAUAAUAAUAUAGGACUUCGGUUCUAUUUUGUUGGUUUCUAGGACUGAAGUAAUGAUUGAUAGGGAUAGUUGGGGGUGCUAGUAUUCCGCGGCCAGAGGUGAAAUUCUUGGAUUCGCGGAAGACUAACUAAUGCGAAAGCAUU